GCUGCGGGCCCUGCCUCCCUGCCUGCCGCCCUCCAUCCCUUCCUCUCCGUCCAUCCUUCGUCUCCUUCUGUUCCCGCUCUCCUCGCUCCUUUCCUGCCUUGGCACUUCUGUUUUCUCCUCUCCUUAGCGCUCCUCCAUUUUUCAUCUACUUCUUUUUCCGCCCCAGGUUGUCCACUUUUUUUUUGUUUUUUGAGACGGUGUCUUGCUCUUUCACCCAGGCCAGAGUGCAGUGGGGCGAUCUUGGCUCACUGCAAGCUCCGCCUCCCGGGUUCACACCAUUCUCCUGCCUCAGCCUCCCGAGUAGCUGGGACUACAGGCGCCCGCCACCGCGCCCGGCUCAUUUUUUGUAUUUUUAGUAGAGACGGGGUUUCACCGUGUUAGCCAGGAUGGUCUCCAUCUCCUGACCUCGUGAUCCGCCCACCUCCGCCUCCCAAAGUGCUGGGAUGGCAGGCGUGAGCCACCGCGCCCGGCUGGGUUGUCCACUUUUAUCUCCUCUUUUCCUUGAUCGUCCUCCCCUUUUUUUCUCCUCUUCCUUUUCCUUAAGCCUUCGCCUGUCAAUCACGUCGAAACACAGUAUUUGACCGGAGCCAGUAUCUUGAUCUGCCUAAAGACAAGACAUUCAAUCGUGAACAGUCGAAUAUUAUUCCUUCCUCAAUUAUACAAAGAAGACUUCCUGCAGUGAGGACGGCGGGACCAGACAGACACGUGUAUUCACUCUGGUGUUGAGUGACCGGCCAGCGCGUUCCGGAAUCCAGAGAAAUCUCAGGACCCUGGGGCUGAAGUGGUUGGGAAAAGCUUCCUGAAGGUCCUUCCUGAGAUAAAGCUGGAAAGAGGGGCAGACUCUUCGUAAGUACAGACUAUUUUGGGCAGGGUCAAGGGUGAGAGAUGAGACUGAAGUGUGUGCACAGGAGAUGAAAGAGACCAACCUGGCUGCCCGGAGCUGGAUGGAAGUGCAGAGGGCCUCAAACACCAGGGUGGUGAGGCUGGAUCCAACCAGAGGCCUCUGACAGAGUCCAGGUAACCCUGAGCUCUGGCCCCAAUGUCCUGCUCCUGACCUCUGUGCCCUGGGCCAGUCCACAUCCUGACUCACACCAGGCCCCAUUCCCAUCUGAGCUCACCUUGGCCUGCGUCUUCGUCUGUUUUCUGUUGCUAUCACAGAAUAUCACAGACUGAGUAAUUUACAACGAAGAGAAGUGUAUUAGGCUGGCAGCGCAGGAGGCCGGGAAGUCUGAGAUCAAGGGGCCAGCAUCUGGUGAGGGCCCUGCUGACGUGUCAUCCUGUGGCAGUAAGUGGAAGGACGGGGUGUGUGUGCUCCAGAGACAGACCAAGAAGGGACCGAACUCGCUUUGAUAACAAACCCACUCCCAUGAUGAUAGCAUUGAUGGGCUCAGGAGGGCCCAGCCCUUGUGACCUCAUCACCUCUUAAAGGUCCCACCUCUCCGUGCUAUUGCACUGGGGACUAGGCUGCCAGUGCAGGAACUCUAGGGGACACUUUUAAGCCACGGCAGCUUCUCUGUCCCGACUCCCGUGGCCUUCCUGACUUUCAAGCCCCCCUUCCUCCAGGCUAAUAAUCACAAUUGUCCCUGUCCCAGCACAGGCCGUCAGCCCCUCCUCCACCCAGGCCAGAAUCAGCGGCAGCAACCCUGGGCACCCCGACCUGCCCUGCCUGCCUGGCCCUUGGGGGACUUUAGCCACGCUCUGAGCCCAUUUCCUCACCUGUAAACCGGGGUGAAGACGUUUCCUCCCUGAGCACGAAAUGUUUUUCCACCUUCCUGCUUCAGACUUUCUGGACCAGUGGGGAAGAGGGGACCUCCUGGAGCUGACUCAGCACCAGAAAACAGUCCCCACCAGCUCUCUAAUUUGACCCCAGAUGUGUCUUUCUCCUUGAAUACGGCGGGACGGGCGGCUCCCUCCCUCACCACCUCCCCUUAGAGCCCUGGAUUCUUAUCUUGAGUGCAAAGCAGGGCCUUGCCCCGGGGCCCCAGUACACCUCUCCUCCCUCCCAUUAGUCCUUCCAGCUCACCUCAGUUCUCCACCAAAGGCUGAGCGUGCCAGCUAUCCACGGGCGCCUGCCCAGGGCUUCCCGGCUGUGGCCAGGGCAAGAGGACAAGACAAGCUCUUGGACAACCCACUCCGCCCCGGCCUUCUGGCUUCUGGAAAGCCCUGGGGAAUUCCAAGCUCACUGCUGGCCCCAGCCCAAGCUGCCACACCCUGCCUCUCCAGCAGCACCAUAGCCUCACCCACAAAUACUCUCUGCUGCCAUCCAUUCCUCAGCCCUGCCUCCUCCUCCAGGAAGCCUCCCUGGUGACCCCAGCCCCCAGGAACAAAUAGCAUUUAUCUUUAUGCAGAAUUGCAGAACUUUUAAAAUUUUAUUUUUGAGACAGAAUCUUGCUCUUGUCACCCAGGCUGGAGUGCAGUGGCACAAUCUCAGCUCACUGCAACCUCUGCCUCACAGGCUCAAACCAUCCUCCCACCUCAGCCUCCCGAGUAGCUGGGAAUACAGAUGCACUCCACUACACCCAGCUAAUUUCAUAUUUUUAGUAGAGACGGGGUUUCGCCAUAUUGGCCAGGCUGGUCUUGGACUCCUGGCCUCAAAGGAUUCACCCGCCUUGGCCUCCCAAAGUGUUGAGAUUACAGAUGUGUGCCACGGCGCCUGGCCUCAAACUUCUUUUACAGAUUCAUGCUUUGUGGGGUGUAGGGUCUCCCCUUUGUUUCUGACCAAGUGCCCAGUGUUUGGGGGCUGCCGUGAGCCCCUCCUCUGCUCCCCGUACACAGAAUGGAAGCCUGGCUGAGUGCUAGACCACUCGUUUUCUGGACAGGGUCAGGCAGGCAUACCUGGGAGCAACCACACCGCGCCCGCGCGUGGCUGAGGGACAGGUUUGGGAACCUUGGAAGCGCGUUAGGCCUGAAGCUCAGAAUGCAGAAGCUUGAGCCGAGUAUUGGGCAGCCAUGGAAAAUGCUGCACCGCCACCCUGCCCGGAAAAAGAGGCAAGGCAGAGAGGACUCUGCAUAAUGGCAUCUUUGAGCAGGCCUGUCCGCAGCCACAGGGCUCUCAACGGGUGUUAUCUGGUGAGAGGGUGCCAGUAGCUGUGGGGGAAGGUGCUGUGCCUGCCAGACCUGCAGCUCCUAGGCUGAGCCACUUUUGGCCAGGUCUCCCCCAACGCCGGAGCCCCAAGCCACAGGCCCCAGAGUCCCCUGUGCUGGUGGCUUUCCUGGAGGGGUGAACUUCGCUGAAAGUUACCAGGUGGCCAUCUGGUUAGCAUGGACAAGUCCAGCCUGGAGCUACUGAACUGGGGACACAGCCCAAUCCAAGGCACCUUCUCUUAACUCAGCCAUGUGCCACAACUGCCUGAAGGACUGUGGGCCAGCUCACGUUUGGACAGGGCCUUUUAGCCUCCCCCGAGCCCAGGCAGGUCAUUUUGCAGAUGAGGAAACUGAGGUUACAGAGGCUGACACAUGGUUCUCCAGGGUGUUAUGUGGCAGACGUAUCUUCACUCCCCUGGUGUCUGUCCCUGUCAUUUCUGGGUGGGGAAGGUGAAAGGGGUUUCCUGGCAGGAAUCAGUCUGGUUCCUACAAAGGGCCGAGGCCAUCAUGCUGGGGCUGAGGCAGAUGCCGGCCAGCAGGCUACAUAAGGCGGAGAGGACCACACGUCACCCUCAGUGGCCAGGAGCACCAGUGCCAGGGCGAGCAUCCUGUCAGUAGCAGGGAGGUGGGGUGCACCUAGUGUGUCUGGAGUUUGUCCCUUCCGGUGGGUUUGUAGUCUCGCUGACUUUAAGAAUGAAGCUGCGGACCUUCACAGUGAGUGUUACAGCUCUUAAAGGUGGUGUGUCCGGAGUUUCUUCCUUCCGGUGGGUUCCUGGUCUCGUUGACUUCAAGAAUGAAGCCGCAGCCCUUCACGGUGAGUGUUAACAGCUCUCAAAGGUGGUACAGACCCAAAGAGUGAGCAACAGCAAGAUUUACUGUGAAGAGGGAAUCAACGAAACUUCCACACCGUGGAACAGGACCCUAGGGAGUUGCUACUACUGGCCAGGGGUGGGGUGGGUGGCCAGCUUUUUUUAUUCCUUUAUUUGUCCUUGCCCACAUCCUGCUGAUUGGUCCAUUUUACAGAGCACUGAUUGGUCCAUUUUACAGACUGCUGAUUGGUCCAUUUUACAAACCUCCAGCUAGCCACAAAGCACGGAUUGGUGCAUUUUUACAGAGCACUGAUUGGCACAUUUACAAACCUCUGGCUAGCCACAGAGCAUUGAUUGGUGCAUUUUACAAUCCUAGCUACAGAGUGCUGAUUGGUGCAUUUUACAAUCCUCUCGUAAGACAGAAAAGUUCUCCAAGUCCCCACUGGACCCAGGAAGUCCAGCUGGCUUCACCUCUCGCUAGGGGCACCUGCAGGAGACGCAGCAGAUAUAGGCAUCUUUGAUCCCAUCUUCACUGGGUUUCCAUCCCCUCCAAGAAGAGUCCAGCGAGGCUCAGAGCCCAGCAGUCUGAGGCCGGAGCGUGAUGUCUUGAUGGAGUGCAGCAGCAGGCGGCCACAGGGGGGCUCCAGGUGGAGGCAGGGUGGACAGAGGGUGGCCUUGGAGGUGCGUGGGGCGGGGGCAGGGAGAGUCAGGGGCCUGAGCCAAGACCACGUUGUUGAUGGGAGCUGAGGCCCAGAAGACAGGUGCUGGGAAGGGCCAGGGAGUCUUCCAGAGUCAAGAUCCCAGAGCCUCCACCUCCCACCCAAUGCUGGGAUUUGUAGCUGGGGGUGGGCCGGAGACAGGAGGGGGACUGGGAAGAUGGCCCUGAUACUUUCCAGAGGAAGCCAGCUUUCUCAGGGGCUGCAGGAGCUGUUCGUUCAACAAACCUCAGACCUGUGCUCACCCCUGUGAGGUGGGGGGCGUGGGACCUGGGUUAGACCCAGUUCUGACCUUGCCCUCCAGAGCCCACAAGGAUAACGGGAGGCAGGCCUGGUCCUCACACCAGGUGCCCAGCAUCCUGCCCAGGCUGUGCUGGGGCUGACCACCCCACGAUGAGGGUCCAUUUCUACCCGCUCUGCUGCAGAAAGGACAGGGUCUGUCUAGGGACAGAUGUGGAGACCCUGAAAGAUGCAGCAGCAGGAUGGGCCUGGGUGGGAGGAGCUGGAGCUGGAGGAAGCUGGGCACCAGCUGUGAGCCCCACCUCACAUCUCCAGCUCACCUGGACUUCUCAGUAAUCCCUCAGGCUGGCCUGGGCUGCAGAGGGGGUCCCAGCUGUAUCAGCACGCAAGGCCUGCUCUGGGGCAGGCUGGGAAGCCCUGGUUUGUCAGAGAACUGAAACCACACUGAGCAGACGCGGCUGCAACCCAUGCAGAGAGAGAAGAGCAGCUUUCAGGGCUGCUGACUUUGCACUGGAACCCCAGAUGACUCCCACAGACCCUGCUAGACCUCUCCACCAGGCUGCAGCUUCCAGGAGGAGGAGAUGCCCCAUGGCUGAUGCAACAAGUUACCACAAACCUGGUGGCUAACACAAGUUUAUUCUCUACAGUUCUGGAGGCCACAAGUCUAAAGUCAGUUGUACGGGGUAAAGUCAAGGUGUCAGCGGGGCUGGUUCCCUCUGGAGGCUCCAGAGGAGAAGCUGCUCCUGGCCUCUGCCAGCUCCUAAGGGCUGCCAGCAUUCCUUGGCUUGUGGCCACAACCUCCAGUCUCUGCCUCCCUGGUCACGUCGCAUUCUCGUCUGUGUGUAAUCUCUCUUCCACCUUCUCUUCUGUGUGUAGUCUCUUUUCCUCUCUCUUGUAAGGACACUUGUGAUUACAUUUAGGGCCCACCUGGCUAACCCAGGACAACCUUUCCAUCCCAAGAUCCUUAGCUUCGCCAGGUGCAGUGGCUCACACCUGUAAUCCCAGCAUUUUGGGAGGCCGAGAUGGGUGGAUCACUUGAGGCCAGAAGUUUGAGAUCAGCCUGGCCAACAUGGUGAAACCCCCUCUUUAAUAAAAAAUACAAAAAUUAGCCAGUUGUGGUGCAUGCCUGUAAUCCCAGUUGCUCGGGAGGCUGAAGCAGGACAAUCCCUUGAACCCAGGAGGCAGUUUGCAGUGAGCCGAGAUUGUGCUAGUGCACUCCAUCCUGGGCAAGGAAGUGAGA
RNAcentral lists this long non-coding RNA (6089 nucleotides) under Homo sapiens (human). Its description in RNAcentral is "non-protein coding lnc-SCGB3A1-3:4". The record is from RNAcentral. Lineage: Eukaryota; Metazoa; Chordata; Mammalia; Primates; Hominidae.